This 253-nucleotide ribosomal RNA is filed under the name uncultured bacterium. RNAcentral's name for it is "partial 16S ribosomal RNA". It matches the Rfam family "Bacterial small subunit ribosomal RNA", at positions 524 to 776 of the family's 1533-position model. The record is from RNAcentral.
UACAGGGGGGGCAAGCGUUGUUCGGAAUUACUGGGCGUAAAGGGCUCGUAGGCGGCCAACUAAGUCACACGUGAAAUCCCCAGGCUUAACCUGGGAACUGCGUGUGAUACUGGAUGGCUUGAAUCCGGGAGAGGGAUGCAGAAUUCCAGGUGUAGCGGUGAAAUGCGUAGAUAUCUGGAGGAACACCGGUGGUGUAGACGGCUUUCUGGACCGACACUGACGCUGAGACACGAAAGCGUGGGUAGCAAACAGG